GCUGGGUGCAGUGGCACAUACCUGUAAUCCCAGCAGCUCGGGAGGCUGGGGCAGGAGGAUCGUGAGUUCAAAGCCAGCCUCAGCAACAGUGAGGCACUAAGCAACUCAGUGAGAACCUGUCUCUA
This 125-nucleotide small RNA is filed under the name Marmota monax (woodchuck). Lineage: Eukaryota; Metazoa; Chordata; Mammalia; Rodentia; Sciuridae. The record is from RNAcentral.